UACGGAGGGUGCGAGCGUUGUCCGGAAUCACUGGGCGUAAAGGGUGCGUAGGCGGCUGGGUAAGUCGCGUGUGAAAGCCCGGGGCUCAACCCCGGAGCUGCAUGCGAGACUGCCUGGCUCGAGCGCGGUAGAGGCGGGCGGAAUUCCUGGUGUAGCGGUGGAAUGCGUAGAGAUCAGGAAGAACACCGGUGGCGAAGGCGGCUCGCUGGGCCGUUGCUGACGCUGAGGCACGAAAGCGUGGGGAGCAAACAGG
This 253-nucleotide ribosomal RNA is filed under the name uncultured bacterium. RNAcentral describes it as "partial 16S ribosomal RNA". It matches the Rfam family "Bacterial small subunit ribosomal RNA", at positions 524 to 776 of the family's 1533-position model. The record is from RNAcentral.